GAAGUCAUUAAUGAGUGUGUCAUUGUGGAAAUCAAAGCUAGAGAAUUUGAUGACAAACUGGGCAUGUGGGAGACUUAAGAGGAGUCAAGGUGACUUUAAUGUGACAUCUUUUCCCCUGUGAGUGACCCUUACUUGAGUUUGCCUUUUACUUCUCAAGAGCCUGUACUGGGUUUUGCUGUGUCGACUUGGUUUAGUUGGGAACUUCAUAUGCUUCCCUUUACGGUUCCAUGCCAGAGUUGAACAAAAUAGGAACUUGUACAAGGUUUGGAAGGCAGAAGUGAAGCAGCAGCCAUGAUGACUCUCCAAAGUUCAUUGUGGUCAGGUGAGGAGACAAGCACAGAGCUACCUGGUAGGUUUCAGCUCAUUCAGCUCUUCCUCAUCACACCCAGCAGCUCUGGGCCUGCCACCUCGUCCUUGGACCCCCAAAGGCAGCAGCCUCGGACAGACAAUCGACAGUUCCUGAGAGUUCCAGGCCUCCUGGAUGCGGAAGAGGGGAAAUUUCAGGACAGUUCCUGAACGUCCCAGCCUUCAAAGCCUCAUGCAAGGCCAGCAAACAGCCUCCAGAAUAAGGGGGAGAUCCUUCCCGAGUCAAGCUGGCUCCAGCUGGGAGGCCUGGGCGUUCGCAGCAUCCUUCCUGGUCUCCGCUGCCCAGGGCAGCGCCCCCUACCUUCUUUGCAAGGCUCCAUGCAGCGAAGGCAGUUUAGGACCGAGGGGAAGAGCGCCUGGUCCCCCAGUGCUGUUUCUUCUUAGCAGGCUGAGCUCCGAGUUUUAACAAUUAGAAAUGAAUUCUUUAACUUCA
Phyllostomus discolor (pale spear-nosed bat) is the source of this 799-nucleotide long non-coding RNA. RefSeq lists it as uncharacterized. The transcript is spliced from 2 exons. NCBI's taxonomy places the organism in Eukaryota, Metazoa, Chordata, Mammalia, Chiroptera, Phyllostomidae. The record is from RefSeq and is a predicted model, not a curated record.